UUGACAGAAGAGAGUGAGCACCCAUGGUGUUUUCUUGCAUGGAAAGGGAGAGACAGAGUCCAUGCUCCAAAGCUAUGCGUGCUCGCUCCUCUAUCUGUCAG
RNAcentral lists this microRNA precursor (101 nucleotides) under Musa acuminata subsp. malaccensis (wild Malaysian banana). RNAcentral's name for it is "mir-156 microRNA precursor family". It matches the Rfam family "mir-156 microRNA precursor family". From Rfam's summary of the family: This family represents the plant microRNA (miRNA) precursor mir-156. Lineage: Eukaryota; Viridiplantae; Streptophyta; Magnoliopsida; Zingiberales; Musaceae. The record is from Rfam by way of RNAcentral.